RNAcentral lists this ribosomal RNA (492 nucleotides) under uncultured bacterium. Its description in RNAcentral is "partial 16S ribosomal RNA". It matches the Rfam family "Bacterial small subunit ribosomal RNA", at positions 29 to 507 of the family's 1533-position model. The record is from RNAcentral.
AGUGAACGCUGGCGGUAGGCCUAACACAUGCAAGUCGAACGGCAGCACAGUAAGAGCUUGCUCUUACGGGUGGCGAGUGGCGGACGGGUGAGGAAUACAUCGGAGUCUACUUUUUCGUGGGGGAUAACGUAGGGAAACUUACGCUAAUACCGCAUACGACCUACGGGUGAAAGCAGGGGAUCUUCGGACCUUGCGCGAUUGAAUGAGCCGAUGUCGGAUUAGCUAGUUGGCGAGGUAAAGGCCCACCAAGGCGACGAUCCGUAGCUGGUCUGAGAGGAUGAUCAGCCACACUGGAACUGAGACACGGUCCAGACUCCUACGGGAGGCAGCAGUGGGGAAUAUUGGACAAUGGGCGCAAGCCUGAUCCAGCCAUACCGCGUGGGUGAAGAAGGCCUUCGGGUUGUAAAGCCCUUUUGUUGGGAAAGAAAAGCAGCAGGUUAAUACCCCGCUGUUCUGACGGUACCCAAAGAAUAAGCACCGGCUAACUUCGUG